CCUACGGGUGGCAGCAGUGAGGAAUAUUGGUCAAUGGACGAAAGUCUGAACCAGCCAAGUAGCGUGAAGGAUGACUGCCCUAUGGGUUGUAAACUUCUUUUAUAUGGGAAUAAAAUGUUCCACGUGUGGGAUUUUGUAUGUACCAUAUGAAUAAGGAUCGGCUAACUCCGUGCCAGCAGCCGCGGUAAUACGGAGGAUCCGAGCGUUAUCCGGAUUUAUUGGGUUUAAAGGGAGCGUAGGUGGAUUGUUAAGUCAGUUGUGAAAGUUUGCGGCUCAACCGUAAAAUUGCAGUUGAAACUGGCAGUCUUGAGGACAGUAGAGGUGGGCGGAAUUCGUGGUGUAGCGGUGAAAUGCUUAGAUAUCACGAAGAACUCCGAUUGCGAAGGCAGUUCACUGGACUGCAACUGACACUGAGGCUCGAAAGUGUGGGUAUCAAACAGGAUUAGAUACCCGAGUAGUC
Molecule: ribosomal RNA, 460 nt
Filed under: uncultured bacterium
Lineage: Bacteria
Description: partial 16S ribosomal RNA
Rfam family: Bacterial small subunit ribosomal RNA
Source: RNAcentral